RNAcentral lists this long non-coding RNA (14883 nucleotides) under Mytilus galloprovincialis (Mediterranean mussel). Lineage: Eukaryota; Metazoa; Mollusca; Bivalvia; Mytilida; Mytilidae. The record is from RNAcentral.
GUCGAUUCCAUGUAACUUCAUAUGGAAAUCGAUGGCUUUGAAAUGUCUGCUAGGAUCGAUCCUAAAAACGAAUAUCUCUCUAUAGGUUUAUACCUGGAGACUCAGUUCACCGUGCGUAACAGAAUAUGUUUUAGUACGUAGAGAAGAAUGAACGUACUAGGCUACUUUUUUCAUGUGAGAGUAAUAGAUCAUGUUUGUCGUUUUAAUUAAAAGUAAAAUGAUACAGAAAUACGAAAAUGUCGUUUAAAUGAAUUUGCCAGUCAAGCGAAGCGAAAAGUCUAAAUCCCUUUGGUAUAGUUCUCAACACAAACUACAUUACUUUAAACUCUGGAUUUUAAAGACAUUGAAAGCAGAGUGGAUUAUCCAAAACAAAAAUUUAAAUCGUCAGUCAAUAAACGGUAUACAUGGAGGAUACAUGGGAAUAUGUCGGGUAGAAUGAAUUAUAUUAAACGAUUUAGAGGAUAGAUAUCAUUGUAUGGAAUUAAAACAAUGGGAGUAUAUUAAAUGUCUUAAUAUUAUAUUCAAUCAAUUGGAAAUAUUAAAUAAUAAAAGAAGUGAUCAGAUCAGGCGGGCUCACAAAAACAGUUAACGCUGGACCGACAUGAGGGCUCAACUUGAACCUAUAUAGAUAUGUGGAAAAAUUUGGAUUUAUUAAAAUAUUCGAAAAAUGUUGUCUUAUUAGGUAAGUUUUGUUUUGUUGGUAAGAUUGUUCUGUGUGUCUUGUUUUUGUUGUAUACUGACACUUUAUCAUGUCGAAUUUCGUUGGUUCUUUCCGGGUACUUCCUCCACCGAAAUAAAAUCUGUCCGAAAAGGUGUAGCCAUGAGUACCGCAAGUGGAGUUUAACCCCAACACUCGAUCAGCAAUCAAUUGUACACUCUGAUAACGGGAGAAAAACGAAUAACGACUCGUACAAGAUAAUAGAGCAUAAAACAUUAAAAUGUUGUUAACCUAACUAAUUAUACUUACAGGGUCAUUAUAGUUAUAUGUUUGCAUUAAUCAUUUUCAAAUCUGCUUGUGUUUUCAUUAUGACAUAACUGAAGUAAGGUCAAUCUUAGCUAUGUUAUAAAUUAAAAAGAUUACAAGACGUAAAAAUGUAAAAUUUGUCGUAUAGUUUUAUCAUAAACCGUUUUUUAUUCUAGUUUUCGUUAGUAGUGUGGGAGAGCAGUUGAUACUGCUCAUUCAAAAUCACCACUGUCUUGCUAUCAAUAAUACCUUAACACAAACACAAGAACACAGAAAAUAUUUGUUUUGACUUAUGUUUGGUGAUAAAACGAAUUCUUAUGCAGAAAAAUAUGCAUAGCGAAAAACUGUUUCUAUUAACAUGACAGUUACAACAGAUUCAAUUAACCUGAAAUACCAUCACCCAUUAACAUUUCAAAUUACAAUUGUAUUUACGUCAUAGAUUAUAUUUUUUUACUGCUGUGUUAAUGUCCACGAUUAAUAAAUGUAUUUUAAGUUCCAGUGUAAAUAUCAAAAUCAAAAUCCAUUUUAAUCACAUUAUAAAUGAAUUUAAUUCUUGUAUUCACAGUUAAGUCCUGAAGACUAUAAGUAUGAUUUGUAUCCUAUUUCAUAGAAAUAUUUAACAAGAUUUUCUUGUGAAAUCGCAAAAAAUAGGGCAGUUUAAAUGUACUUUUUAUAUACACAUAUUUGAAUAAGAUUUUAAAAAGAGGAUUAACGCCGAAAAGAUAAAAAUAUAAUGUACUUAAAGUGCUAAGACUAUAUAAUUGAAGACAUAAUUAGUGAAAUUUGUAUUUUUGAUCCUAGUAUAUUUGUUUUACGGAUAAGGUAUAUUUGUCCUGGUUUGAAUUUUUGAUCUCGAAUUUGUUUAGGGGUGGGAUGAAAGACAUGGAGUAUUUUUACCAGAUUAUUUUAAUUAUAACUUUUGUUUUCUCAAUAUUUACUGUUAAAACCAUCUACUGAAAUAUAAACAGCUUAUCAGGGCAUUUUUGUAAGCCAUUAGUAGAUUCAGAAAUAAGAACUAAAUGAUCCGAACAUAACAGACAUGAAAUAUCAAUAUCACUUAACUUAGGUUGUUAACGCAUGUGGAGUCAAAAAAGGGGGAGAAUUUUAAUAUAUAAAGAAAAUAAAGUGGGGCUCAGAUACAUUUUUUUUUUUUACUCAGCUGUCUAAUUAAAAAAAACAGUAACACCUUCAGAGAUCUUCACCGAGUACCAAACCUCUUUCUACAUAUCUCUCAUUAUACGUUAGAAGUGAUAUUGGACAACACUUUUAAAACUUUAAAUUUCAUUUUUUUUUUAUAUAUCCUUAGAAAGAUACCUUAAAAUUGAAUUGGAAUUUUUGUAUUCUGAUUAAAUUCAAUCCUCUUCUAUUUCUGUUGCCUUUCUGUACGACGUAAAUACCAUCGACGAAAAGCUACUAUCUGACUAUCAAUUAUACAAAGUCUAUUAAAGAUCCUUAGAUAUAAUCAACCAAAAAGGCUACCAAUAGAUAUGAUUCAUGUGUGUGUAUAGCGUGUAAAACUUUUGAUAAUAUUAGUCCUUGAACGACAGAAUUCUUUUCUUUUCCUUCUUAUUCAAUAGAUAAUGAUUCAGGUUAUUCUGUUGCAUGUGUGCUCGCGUUUAUCUUCCCCAUAGUGAAAGACUUGUAAAAUUGAACUUCAACUAUAGCAAAACAAUAACGAUUAUGUAGAAUUCAUUUAUCAAAAAAUUGACAUUGACACUGACAAAGGAAGGCCCAGCUAUCGGUUUUUAACUGUUUUUAAAGUACUUUGGAUAUUAAAAUAUCAUGAAUACAACUAUACACAACUAUGAGCAUUUAAUUUGUCAAAACCCGACGUGAACUGUGUAUUUUAAGAGUUAUUUGGUUUUAUAAUAUGUAUUAUUGUCCGUGAUUUAAACAAAUUGGUUUGAUUAUUGAUGUAGAUAAAUGUUGUAGAUAAUGCAUUGAGAAGCCUUUUUACAAUAAAAAUGAAAAGGUUUUGAAAGGUUACGUAUAAGUUCAAACUAUUAAACAUACUUAAGUAUUAGAUAAGGUGGGUUUUUUUUUUUUUUCUUUUUUCAAUGAAACAAAGAUUUUUUAAUCCGUUUGUAUAUUUUGAAAGUUUUUAUAAACAAGAAACUGGAUGUAAUUCCAAUGUUCCCAUAGGUGAGAGUCUGGACGGGCUUCUUGUAUUAUGAAGAUGUGGUAUGAGUGCCAAUGAGACAACUUUCCAUCCAAAUAACAAUUUAUAAAAGUAAACCAUUAUAGGUCAAUGUACACUUUAUUUUUAAGACCAUUUUUCUUUUUUCUUUGUAUACUUUUUGUCUCUUAUUCUUUAUAUUCAUACAUCUCAUUAUUUUCUAUUCUUUAUUUUUUUUUUUUGCCAUGUUUCUCUAUUCUUUAUUGUUUUAGUCCUUUAAUAUCUAUUCCGUAAACCUCAAUCUGCACCCUCAUAGAUUCUUUGAGUAAAAUAUACUACCAUGUAUAGUGAUGAACAUUUUACAUAUAUUAACCGGUCCUCAAUACUGAUGCACGUCUUUUGAACUAAUUUUUCUAGCUUGAAAAUUUUUCAUAAAAACUGUUAUUUUUACCCCGACGUUUUUACUUAAGCAGUCACAUUUAUUUUAUACUUCUUUUGACAUAUAAAGAUAAAGUAUUUCGCUGUAAUAAUAAUAGAUAAAAUAAAAAAUUAGGGUUGCUUAAAACAGACAGUUAAAACGUAGACAAAAAAUCUUAUAUUUAGAUAACGAUAUUAAGACGCUUAAAACAUUAAAACUGUACACUAUGAUUCGUUGUUAAUUGCUUAAACGUCCGUUGACAAAUAUUUCAUAAAAAGUCAAGACAAGAAGAAGUUCAUCAAUUCGUAGUUCAUUAAUAUUGUUGGACUUUGAGAAAUCUUGAAUAGUCAUGAUCAGUCAUGGGUAAAUUGGAAAGAUUAAAAAUCAAAUUCUGUAGACCACUAAAAGGACUUGAUGAAAGUAGCAUUCUCCGAAAACAUGCAUUGUGAUUUUGUCUUCUGUAAAUUGAAAAACAACACUAUAUCCUUGGGAAAUUAUUCAUUCCGUACAAACUUCACACUACCUUUUAUCAAAAAUAUAUCAUUUACCGGUUAACAGCUUUUGUGAUGCUAAAUGAGCUGUAAAAAGAACUGUGAAACGUUUUCAAAAAGAUACAUGCGAGCACUGAUUAAUAAAACGAUCAAAGCAUUUAUCCGAGCACAAAUUUAUAAAAUGAUCAAAGCAUUUAUGAAAUUAAUUGGACAGUACUGGAAAUGCAAUGUCAAGUUAUUAUAUAAUUGUUCGAUAAGAAAUUCCCACUGAGAUUUUAAUACGGGCUAAAUGUUUUAUCAUUUUAUUUCACUAUACAGUUUAAAUAUCUGCAUUACUUAAAUUGAAAUUGGUAAAAAUUGAUUCCAUUAGGAAAUGAAGCUUUGAAUUACAUUCUAGACACGGAAAAAUCAAUGCUAAUUUCAAUAUUUCUAUUUCCAAUUAUUCAUCGAUGAUUUAAUCUAAUUGUCAAAUUAGUACAGCAAGUUGAAAAUUGACACAAUAAAAUGAUUAUUGAAAAAAAUCUUUUCAUUUUUAUUUAUAUGAAAUUACGAAAGAAUUGGUUUCAAAAGGCACAUAUUGUUUCAAUAGGCGAAUAACAUUUUAUACUAUUGAUAGUGUUGAUACUGAUCAGUGGAUCUCAUGUUAAUGGACAUAAAUAUUAAUUUUCAAUGUAAAAUAAUAACGGUAUCUUUGCAAUAUCAAUGUGUUACUCUGAUCUAUAUGAUUUUUAGUAUGCCCAUGUGUAUUUCAACCUUCUCGGUGUCUCUUGGUAGCGUGCUCGCUUUGAGUGCAAUUAGUUACCAUAAUUUAAAAAAAAUGUUAUCUGCUGCUUCGACGCCGAGUAUGACAUUUAGAAUUAAGAGCUAUGACUAGUAGGGUCUGCGUCAGAAUAACGUGUCCCAGUAAAGUAGCAUUGCUUUUAUACGCACUCUUUUCAUUGGUUGCUUAUAAACUUUGACGUUAGACACAAUGCACGGUCCAUCUUCAUAUCGUAUCAACAAGUUUUAGUUGGAUAUGCAUUUGAAAUAUUUACCACUGGACGUUUACAAUCUAUCCGUCAUCCUUUCUUGUGUUAUUCUGAUUUAUAGGAUUAUAGUAGAUCUUUGUUAAAGUUUUCCCUCCAUUACGAAUGACAUUAUUACCUUUCAAGUUGAGAUGUAUUUACUGAUCCGAUUAGCUAGUAAAAUAAAUUUCUAAAAGGAAUUUUCAAUGUUUUCUUUUUAUUUGAUUAGGAAUUUGAUGCAAUUAUUUCAUUCACUAGAAAAACAAACACUGUUUUACUCCCGGUAUUAAUACGUGUGGAACCAGUUUAGCCCAAUACAUAAUUAGUUUCCAAUUAUACCUGGCCAUAUACUAGUAAUAUCAUCAACUGGUUCUUGGGGGUAAAGAAAAUACCUUGUCAUCUAAUAUCAACAACUCCGGGUUUCUCGGGGGGUAAAGAAAAUACCUUGUCAUAUAAUAUCAUCUACUGUUUUCCCGGGGUAUAGCAAAUACUGAUCAAAGAAACUAGGCUUAUUCGUUAGAUCAUGGAAGUAUUAUAGUCAAUAUAAUACUUCCAUGGUUAGAUGUAUGUUCACUUGUGUUAAUGUGUCUUUUGGUUGAGUUAAGCCAUUUCAAUUGAUUUUUUAUAGUGUUUCUCUAUGUUGUACUGUUACACUAUUGUUUCAGAUAAGGGUGAAGGUUGGUACCUGUCAAAACGUAUAAUCCCGCUCCAUGUGUUGCACCUUUCCUAAUUCAGGAAUCUGACGUUCAGUAGUUGUCGUUUGUUGAUGUGAUAAGUGUUUCUCGUAACUCGUUUUUAAUAUAAAUUAGAUCGUUUGGUUACCCGUUUGAAUUGUUUUACACUAGUCAUUUUUGUGGCCCUUUAUAGCUUGCUGUUCGAUGUGAGCCAAGGCUCCGUUUUGAAGACCGUAUUUUUUCCUAUAAUGGUUUACUUUUACAAAUUGUGACUUAGAUGGGGAGUUUCCAUUGGCACUCAUACCACAUCAUCUUAUAUCUAUUAUCCUCUUAUAUCUAUUAUAAUUUUGUACGCAAGAAAUAUGGCCAAUUAGACCCAAAUGAUAUGAUAUUCAAUUUGUUCUUCUUUCAAAGUUUGUAUUAAAUAUUUUAAAACAACUAUAAAUCAUCUAAAACAUUCAAGUAAAUAUGACAUCAAAAUUUAAAAGGGCUAAUAGAUGACAUCCAAAUAAAUUGCAUAUGAAUCAAAAGAAACUGAAAAAUAUAUGUUCACGGUAUGGUAUUUGUUUUUUGUUUUGCUUUUUCCAAUCAUAUUGUGUUGUAAAAUGAUGCCCUUUAUGGGUUCUUGGUUAGAUUAUGCGGAUAAAACAAAACAAUUAUUCAACAUGACAAUUAAUGUCAAUGACGAAUAACAUUUUUAAAUCUGUUGAUAUACAAAAGCACCAGUUGAAUAAAUUCUUCCCACCCAGUCAACUCACAAUUUACGUUAAAUCAUCAGGAAUACAGUGCAUAUCUAAUCACCGAAAGUUUACUCAGUCUGUACUGCAUCUUGGUGAAACAGGCUUGAUAAUUAUAUUUUACUGUUGAUAUCGUAUUACUUUGAAAGAAAAUUUUAAAUCAAAUGGAGUGAAAGUCUAAUUUCAUAACUGUCAAAAUAAUUGUUCGACGGAAUCAAAUUUUAAAAUCUGAUUCAUAAAAAGUAGAAACGUGUAUAUACCAUAAUGUAUAAACGGUAGAAAUAAAAAUUAAAAAAAACGGAUAGCAACGCCAAAACUCGACUAUAUAUUGUCCAAUAAAGCUUAAAUGUACUAUUAUUUGAAUAAGCUUUUAACAGUGGAACUUUAUCAAUUGUAAUACUAAUACACCAUGUUUUGAUAGUUGUGACGUGAUAAAGAUUGUUAAACAGAUGUAAUUCCACUCAUAUUUCUUUAAAUUUUAUAAAUGAGGUACCAAAAGAAAGAAGAAGGAUUAAUCUAUCAAAUUGUGAUAAUUUCAUUAUGACAUAAUUAUUACAUAAUUAAUUGUUAUUGUUAUUGUUGUUGGAACCCCCCCUUUUUUGCCGAUCAAUGCAUUUGAAUGGGAGCAUAUAGUUGGAACCCCCCCUUUACUCUGGGUUGGGACCCCCCUUUUUAAAAUGGCUGGAUCCGCCACUGUGUGACACAAUAAUAAAAUAGAUUAUUAUUAUCUUGAAUGAAUUUAGUUUCUUUGUUAUUCAUAGCGCUCUUUGAAAUCUUAUCUAAAGGCCCGUUGUCACUUUUAUCAUUUUCUUGUACAAGUUCUCUAGGUCAAGGUCAUUUGUGAGCUGCAUUUUAGUGACAAUUCAUUGAAGAAAAUAUUAUCAAAAAAUUUGACGGACUCGAAUGGAAUAGAUUAUCAUCUUAUUCUUUUCUUGAAACUUGGAUGGGCUUGGAUAGGAAUUAUUUAAUUACAGUGCAGGUUUUACUUUUACUAAGGUUUUGAUUAAAACCUUUGUUAUGUGACAACCGAUGACUUGAACCAAGUUUGCCGGACCAAAAUUUUCUUAAACAAGUUUUUGAUGAAAACUUUUGAUACAUACGAUUUUUAAAAUAUGACCAAGUUUACCUGGUGAAAGAAAACUUUUACCAAAUUAACGUUGAUGCUUUGACAUCACUGGUAUCAAAACAAAUAUGAUUACAAUGUAGUCUUUAAUUUAGGAUCGGGGGCUUUCAAUGAAAAAAUUAGAGACAAUACUACACGUCUGAAAGUUGUUCAAAUUGUAUCAUCCUGUUGAUUAAUGCAUUUUGUACGUUGUUCAGCGCGAGCUGUACCUUUACAACAUAUGGUAGAUAUAAGCAAAGGGCAAUUGUGUACGCACUUUUGAUUUAACUCCACCUCGUGUGUCCCUUUACCAAGACAUGUUGUGUUGUAUGCGUCGGUGAGGUCUUUUGCGUUGUCUAAAGUUUGGUAAAUACGUUUUUCUUCUCUGAAAAGUCGGAUUUAGGUGCAUGGUUGGGGUAGAUUUGUGCUGUGAAAUAUUUCUGAUAAUUCAUAUUGUUUGUCUUUGUGUGUCCAUUUUUUUUUUCUAAUUCUAUUUUUUCGUGAAAUUGGAUUUUGAUGGUUUGGAGUUUUCUUUUUUACUUUCAAAUAUAUUUGAUUCUUUGAAAGUCUGGGUUUGUUUUUUCAGAAAAUUCGGAUGUUGGUAUUUGGUGUAGUCUGUUGUGCUUGUCCAAUAUAACUGUUAAUUCUGUAAAUCUGUUUACGUGUUAUUAACGGUCACUGGAAAAAAAACUGACUAUUGCUUUAGAUUGAUAUCAAAAUGAGAAUUGACAAUAAAUUUCAGUGACAUAUGAAUACUCUUAUAAACUGAAUAGGUUUUAUUUUUACCGAAUCCUGGUUGAUCAAGUUUCAUCAAUAUAAAAAUAGGUUCAGCCAUAUUUUAUCAUAUACAGAUACAAACUAACAGUGGAAAACCCCUAUUCAGAGAAUUUAAUGUCUGUAUUACUUUGUAUACAGGUAUACAUAAUUCGUUAUUAUACGGAAGUUAUAUUAUCACUUUCAAACCAUCUGGGAUAUGAAAUGACCUUUUACGAGAAGUUUUUGUAUUCAGCAAAUCUAGUUUAUUAUCACACCGAAGACAUGUUAAAACCAAAAACUUGUAAAAACUCAUCAAUUAUAGAUUUUUUUUAAUUAUGUAAUAGAUAUAUGAUAUGGAAUUUUAUAAUACUUUGAAAAUAAGUCAUUAUUUAUGCAGAAAGAUCGAUAGCAAUUAUGGUUUCAAUUAAAAAAUAAACUAAUUGACAGUCACAAUAUUCGUCAUCUUCAGGUUUCAUAUAAAUGUGAAUGAAAAACUUUCAAGGAAGUGUUUGCAUUUGUUAAGUAUAGUUAUCUCUAUGACACCAUCAUGAUUUAGUUGAUGGCUAAAGAAUAUCACUAUUUCUUAUUUCUGGGUGGGGGGGGGUAUUCUUGAUUGGAAAUCCAUGGCAGCGAAUGUAACCGUUAACACGAGAAGCACAAGUGACGUCACUGGGGGAACAGAAAACUACUGGUCCUUGAGUUCAACCUCAUUUUCGGAAGAGUUCAUCAUGCUAAAAUAUGACUUUUUUGUGUAGAGUUUUGUGAACUUAUUUGUCUUUUUGCAACUCGUCUUUUUGGCCAUAGCAUUUAUAGUCUGUUUUUGUGGUUUUUGAUUGCAUCUUUAGUGUCUUUAAUCUCCUCUUUUUGGAUAGCAGAUACUGUAAUGAAAGUAGUUUGUUUAUCUUUGAUUACUACUUGUUUGUUUGUUGAGGUCCAGGUCAUGUGGUGUAUUUAGAAUAAGUAAAAAUUGGUUGCAAACUGGCAUAUUCGGAAAUUACAACAUCUUAUUUUUUUAUAUAUAGACCUGCUAUAUAAUGUAGGCGAACCAGGUUGUCACGCGAUUCAGAUAUGGGUCUAUUUAAUAUUAUCUAUAUUUCUGUUCAAUAGACCGAUUAGAAUAUAUAAUCAGAACUUUUAAGGUCAGUCUUGCUCAGGAUGUAAUAGAUUAAAACAGUUAGAAAUAUAUAACAUGCUUAUUCAACUACGGAAUAUAUUGUUCAACAUGUUUACUUACAUAAUAUUGAGACACCAAUAAACGGAUUUAAGCUUAUAUUUAAUAAAAACCAAAGGGAAACUAUACCAGACAAAUGAUCAAGCCUCGUUAUUUUAAAUUGAUUUACCCACGACCCCCCCCCCCCCCCCCCCCCCCCCCCCCCCAACUACAAAGUAUUUACACUUUUUGCUACCCAACAUUUCCCUCAUGGUGUACAUGUAAAUAAGUAACAAAUCCUGACAUUACGUUAUUUGGCACUUUCUCUUCAAAUACAUUAUUGACUUGUACAUUUUCUCCUGUAAAUAUUUAAACACGGUAAGAAAUUAUUAUCAAUUCACAGUUUAAAUACCAUUUUCUUUUUCUGCUGUUCCCUAUCGUUUUUCAUUUGAAUAAGACUUGCAGUUCAAAUUAUUUUUUUUUUGUGUUUUGAGGUUGCCACACACCACAACUCUCGUUAUGAAUAAGCCAAAUUUCCCACUUAGAUAUGGCGAAUUCUAGCUGGACUUCUACAGAGGGAUUAAUGGUUACAAAUUCUCCCAACUAUUGGUUAUUCUUUCCUCGCAAUAUGUUGUGCGGUUUUGCUUUUGCAAGUCAUUUUGCACGGAUUGUUUUUCCCUGAAUUCUACUAAUUAAAUUGAGAAAAGAAAUUUUCAAAAAAGAAAAGAAAGAAAAUGACAUAAAUGAAAUAAAAAUAAGAAAAGAUAUACACACAUGUAUAAAUAGCAGGGAUAUGCUUUAUCAAUUGUACGCUUUCAUUUUGUUACCUUGAACUUGAGAAAUGCAUUCAAACACCUGGUUCUUUUUUCCAAGGUGACAGAGGGAAGUUGUUAGGAACAUGAAUAUAUCUUAGUGCACAUAAAGAGUAUGAUCCCAUAGCGCACAAAAAGUUUGAGUAGAAUACAAUAAUUAAAUGACCAUUCUGACAAAACAUUAUGCUAUACUAGACAUAUUAGAAUCAAUACAUUUACCCUCUAAUUAAUAUUUUUACAAUAUCCUAUUGGAAUUAUUGAUACAAUUUUGUUUAACAAAUAGUAAAAACCAUUAUGUAAAUUAAAUUUGUUCUUCGACCAUUGACGAUUUACGUCAGAGAAAUAAUAAACAUUCACAGAGAGUUUAUAUACGGGUACAAGGAGAAUUCACUAAUGAUAUAUUUCGAUGAUGCAUUUCUAUGUUUAACCGCUCUGUCCUGUAAUCAGACCAAGUUCAUAAUGGUACAUUAUAUUAUUUCCACACCAUUUAUAUUCAUGUACAAAUAUUGCUCUAGAGUAAUUUCUGGCAGAAACUCACUCCCCCCCCCCCCCCCCCCCCCCCCCCCCCCCAUAAUCAUUAUGUGCACUAGACACUCUCUCUCUACUCUUGUCUAAACAAAGCUUUUUCGCACAAAGAAACAUUUUAGAAUGGAGAGAAGAGAAUGUUACAUUUUUUAAGUGAUAUUGCUUUAAAUCCACCAUUUUCUACCUUUGAAAAUGCCUGUACCAAGUCAGGAAUAUGACAGUUCUUGUCCUAUCGUAUUUUAUGCGUUUUGUUAUUUGAUUUUGCCAUGUGAUUAUAGACUUUCCGAAUUGAUUUUCCUCUGAGUUCAGUAUUUUUGUGAUUUUACUUUUUACUUUCUAUUUUUCAAUUCAGGUUAUUUCGAAUUUUUACACAUCUAUGACAAAUACGAUUGUUUUCUACCUCACGCCAUAAAAUUUGAAAUAUGUAUUUUUUUAUGACUGUCUUUCUUGACUUAUACAGGUUCGUGACUGAGUCUCUUCGCCUUAGAACAUGAUGUAUUGUACUUGAUGUUGAAGGAGCAUUUAUGGCUAUAUUAAUAUUUAUGAAAUCAAUAGUAUCGUCAUAAACUACGUAAAACGAUAUAAGUGAAUGAUAACAAAAAAAUGUUAAAAAAGGAGCAAUAGGGUUGCUUCGAUACUGGCAAACAUAUCUUUUUCGGCGUUUCCGGUUUCAUUGUAAUGAAUUGUUUUGUUGAAGACAAAGAUAAAUAAUGCUUAUUCAUCGUAUCCAUUCUUAUCGUAUAUUAAUAAUUUCUGAAUUGUUACAUACAAAUUUUCAAGAGAUCAAUAUUUCAAUGUUUUACAAUCAUAUGAUGUGUGUUACUACGUAGAAAUUUGGCAAGAACAAUAGUUCGGGAAGAAAGGUUCACGAUACCACUGUAAAUUAGUUGUAUGGUGUGCUUUAAUAUUAUAGUAUAAAAUAAUGUGAUUAGAGACUUAUCUGUGUGCAUGCUACAUUUUGAAAACUUAUAUUUCUAUCAUUUACAUUAAAGACUCAUUAAGGUAUUAAAUUCCUGUGGCAAAUUUGACAUUUGACAGCUCUCUAAUAGUGUUCAAUUGUUGUUUUGGGCUUUAAGUUGCUUAAAUAAAAUUCCGUUUCCUUUUUUUUGAGCUUUUGGCCCUUGCCUUGCCUGGCUGAAAUUGGUCUAUAUGACUGUUUUACGGCAACACAAGUGUGUGUGAUUUCAGAUGCUCAUAUUCGUGCUCGGAUAUAACUACGCUGUCUCCACCUUCAAGAGGGCAAUACAACUCACGCAAAUGAGUUUAUAAAUGAUAAGACAGUACAGUUGUAGAUCCAUACAUUUUCAUAAGAGGGGGACCACUGACUGCCCAAGAUAGGGUCCAUUCAUGUCAUGCUUCGGUGCUACCUUAUGAUAUCUCACUCGUUUCAGGUCCUUACUAUGCAUGCACAGGUAAACAGAUCAAUACCAUUAAACUGUUGUUUAAUCUUCGAAAAAUGAUACAUACAUGUAAUUCUACAGAUUAUCAUAUUAUUAUUUUUUUGAUAAUUUUAACUGCAAUGUGAAACAAACUUAACAAAUAAUUUGGUAUCGUGCCAUUUCUAGGAUUAAAGAACAAAUACAUAUUUAAAAAAAAAAAAAGAAAAGAGGGGAAUGAACACUUGAAGAAUGUAACAUCUUUAUAUUGGUAUGAGGAUUACUGCAUACAUAAAUUCAGAUUCAAGAGAUAUAAAGACAAUAUGACAUCUGCGCUCGUUAUUUCUACCAAUCAAUGAUGUUUUCAAAGUACACUUUAAAACCUAGUUGUUGUAUGAACACAACACAAAUUAUAUUAAGACGGUUUAAAUGCGUAAAAUUUUGGUUCAUUUGCAAACACCAGUACAAAUAUGAUAUGAUUGUUAUUUUUGCUUGUAUUUAUCAAACAACUGAGAAAGAUGUUUUUAUAAUAAAUGACCCACUUAAUUAGCAUGUUAACUUUACUUUAAAUAUUACAUAAUGUUUUACUAUGAUGUCGGAUUUUACUUAAAUACAUUUAAUUAUUUAACCAUUUGAAAAUAGCCGAAAUAACGUCACGAUCAUUUAUUUUCUCAUCGCAUUUUUCCAUGAACAAUGAAAUAUUAUAGGAGCACAAAUCUCAUAAAACAUAGUAUAUAAUAAAAACCCAGGGAUAUAAAAUACUUAGAUAGGUUGAAACUCUUAUAGGAUGAAAUAUUCCGUUUGACAUAGGACAACGAGAAUAUGAAUUAUAUGUCUAUUGUUUCUUACGUUUUGAAAAAAAAAAAUACAAUGAAAAAAGAUAAUUGAAUGCAAACUUCAUUGUCAUUGGCGUGUAUAACAAUGUUAAAAUACUUUGAAGUAUCAUCCUAUUACAUGUUUUAGACCUAUAAUAGUUAGUUACGCUGUUACGUUUUAUGCGUGUAUUGACAUAUAGUCUCAUUAAUCAUGUUCUAAAGAAAACAUUAAUGUAACAUCUUAGGUAAACAUUUCCUUUGUUAUGAAUAUUGCUAUAAAACUGUUCUUGAAGGAACUAUUUGUUAUACCCUUUUUCCAUCAGAAACGAACACUGCAAUUUUCCUUCCAUUACAAAUAUUAUUCCAGUGUGUGUCUACCAUUUGGAACUAAUGAUAUCGCAAAGGAACAUCUACGCAUGGCAAACAGAAAGAAACACAAGUCAAAAGUCGAAAAAAUGAAAACAAAAGUGCACAAAUGAAAAUUUUAGUUGAAUUAGACAAAAUUGUAUUUACCAAAUUGAAUUGGUAAUUAUACAAAAUGUCAUCUUUCUCUAAUUUUUCAUUGGGAACUCUUCCAAACUUGAAAAUUGACUUAUUCAUUCCAAUUGUAAGGUUUUAAUUUCAAUUUGUUUUUGGUCAUGCAAUUGUAAAAUAAGAAAUAAUAAUAUUUGCAUUGCUGUGAUAAAUAGUGUUUAUCUAUCAUUUAAGGUUAAACUUUCCCUAACCCCUUAUAACAUGAAAUUGUCCAUAUUUUGAGUUGGGGCUCAUAUAAUUUGUCCUUAAAAUAGUACCUUGCACUGUUAAAAUCUUAUCGAGAUUGUCAAGAGCGAUAUCAUCAGUAGACAAAAGUCUAUGCACUAUGUCAAGUUCUAAAUCGUCUCUUGUCAAUAUCAAAGUUUUCUUGUUCAGGUUUUUGAUGGAGUUUUUUUACAGUGACAACCGUCAAUAGUCUUAUUUCGAAUAAAAUAUCAUCCUAUCUUUCUGAAGACUUGGGUGGAUAUUAAUGAGAAUUCUGACAACCAAUGAUUUGGACAAUAUUUUGGUGAUUUUGGACGAUGUCAUGUUAUUUGAUAUAUCAUGGAUGGUCAGAGAAAACCUUGACCUUGAUUUGGAUAUUGAUCAAGUUAAGUUUGAUAGUGACAGUUGGGCUUUGCAGAGACUAACGAUUAUAUGCCAUAGACACGACUAUUUUAAGUCUAAAAACAAUAAGAUAGUACAUGAAACAUCGUGAACCUCAAUUAAAACGACACAGUUAAUUUUAUUCAUUUAAGAAUACCGUUGAUUUUUUUAUGUUUGAGCGGAGGAAGAAUAGUAUGUUUGAGCUGAAAGGGUAGAUCCAAUUCCUAUAAAUAUUCAUAGAUAUAAGAAGAUUUGGUAUGAGUGCCAAUGAGACAACUCUCCACUCAAGUCACACUUUAUAAAAAUAAACCAUUAUAGCUUAAAAUACGGUCUUCAACACGGACCCUUGGCUCACACUAAACAGCAUACUAUAAAGGGCCCCCAAAAAAUACUAGUGUAAAACCAUUCGAACGGGAAACCCAACCGUCUAAUCUAUAUGUAUUUACAUUUAUUUGUCUUUCUAGACUAACAACUCAGUUUUCUGGUAGGAAUAAUCUUGCGAAAAUCGAAGUUGGAAAUAUAAAACGAAUAUAAAUCAACGAUAAAUGCGUUUUCUGUCAAAUAAAACACGGAACCUUCAUCAGAACCAAUGAAUAGUAACGUUUUCUGUCCCAAUACAAUAUUUGUAAAGCACUUUUCACUAUUUGUAAACUGUUGACAGAAUACAAUGUAUUGAAAGCUUAAAUGUAAAUACAAGUAUAAAACCAUUAAGCAGCUUCUUAUAGUCAUACCAUGUAUCAACACUUUAACUUUGAAGUCAUACAUAAAUUUCUAUUUUUCAGCAACAGUUUGGCUUCAAUGCUUCGUUUUACUAGUCAGAGGUA